GGCGCUUUGGCGGAGUGGUUAACGCGAUGCCCUGCUAUGGUUUUCAACCAAGUGGAUCAGGCAUUUCCUUCGGGAGCGAGUGUUCGAAUCACUCAGGCGUCG
This 102-nucleotide transfer RNA is filed under the name Mollisia scopiformis. Its description in RNAcentral is "Phialocephala scopiformis tRNA". It matches the Rfam family "tRNA". From Rfam's summary of the family: Transfer RNA (tRNA) molecules are approximately 80 nucleotides in length. Their secondary structure includes four short double-helical elements and three loops (D, anti-codon, and T loops). Further hydrogen bonds mediate the characteristic L-shaped molecular structure. tRNAs have two regions of fundamental functional importance: the anti-codon, which is responsible for specific mRNA codon recognition, and the 3' end, to which the tRNAs corresponding amino acid is attached (by aminoacyl-tRNA synthetases). tRNAs cope with the degeneracy of the genetic code in two manners: having more than one tRNA (with a specific anti-codon) for a particular amino acid; and 'wobble' base-pairing, i.e. permitting non-standard base-pairing at the 3rd anti-codon position. Lineage: Eukaryota; Fungi; Ascomycota; Leotiomycetes; Helotiales; Mollisiaceae. The record is from Rfam by way of RNAcentral.